This 829-nucleotide ribosomal RNA is filed under the name Lactiplantibacillus plantarum. Its description in RNAcentral is "bacterial SSU rRNA". It matches the Rfam family "Bacterial small subunit ribosomal RNA", at positions 57 to 858 of the family's 1533-position model. The record is from RNAcentral. Lineage: Bacteria; Bacillati; Bacillota; Bacilli; Lactobacillales; Lactobacillaceae.
GCAGUCGAACGAACUCUGGUAUUGAUUGGUGCUUGCAUCAUGAUUUACAUUUGAGUGAGUGGCGAACUGGUGAGUAACACGUGGGAAACCUGCCCAGAAGCGGGGGAUAACACCUGGAAACAGAUGCUAAUACCGCAUAACAACUUGGACCGCAUGGUCCGAGUUUGAAAGAUGGCUUCGGCUAUCACUUUUGGAUGGUCCCGCGGCGUAUUAGCUAGAUGGUGGGGUAACGGCUCACCAUGGCAAUGAUACGUAGCCGACCUGAGAGGGUAAUCGGCCACAUUGGGACUGAGACACGGCCCAAACUCCUACGGGAGGCAGCAGUAGGGAAUCUUCCACAAUGGACGAAAGUCUGAUGGAGCAACGCCGCGUGAGUGAAGAAGGGUUUCGGCUCGUAAAACUCUGUUGUUAAAGAAGAACAUAUCUGAGAGUAACUGUUCAGGUAUUGACGGUAUUUAACCAGAAAGCCACGGCUAACUACGUGCCAGCAGCCGCGGUAAUACGUAGGUGGCAAGCGUUGUCCGGAUUUAUUGGGCGUAAAGCGAGCGCAGGCGGUUUUUUAAGUCUGAUGUGAAAGCCUUCGGCUCAACCGAAGAAGUGCAUCGGAAACUGGGAAACUUGAGUGCAGAAGAGGACAGUGGAACUCCAUGUGUAGCGGUGAAAUGCGUAGAUAUAUGGAAGAACACCAGUGGCGAAAGCGGCUGUCUGGUCUGUAACUGACGCUGAGGCUCGAAAGUAUGGGUAGCAACAGAUAGAUACCCUGGUAGUCAUACCGUAACGAUGAUGCUAGUGUUGGAGGGUUUCCGCCCUUCAGUGCUGCAGCUAACGC